ACUACGGGUGGCAGCAGUGGGGGAUCUUGCACAAUGGGGGAAACCCUGAUGCAGCGACGCCGCGUGAGUGAAGAAGUAUUUCGGUAUGUAAAGCUCUAUCAGCAGGGAAGAAAAUGACAGUACCUGACCAAGAAGCCCCGGCUAACUACGUGCCAGCAGCCGCGGGAAUACGUAGGGGGCAAGCGUUAUCCGGAUUUACUGGGCGGAAAGGGAGCGUAGACGGUUAUGUAAGUCUGGAGGGAAAGCCCGGGGCCCAACCCCGGGACUGCUUUGGAGACUGUGUAACUGGAGUACAGGAGGGGCAGGCGGAAUUCCUGGUGUAGCGGUGAAAUGCGUAGAUAUCAGGAGGAACACCGGCGGCGAAGGCGGCCUGCUGGACUGAAACUGACGUUGAGGCUCGAAAGCGUGGGGAGCAAACAGGAUUAGAUACCCCAGUAGUC
RNAcentral lists this ribosomal RNA (440 nucleotides) under uncultured bacterium. RNAcentral's name for it is "partial 16S ribosomal RNA". It matches the Rfam family "Bacterial small subunit ribosomal RNA", at positions 338 to 795 of the family's 1533-position model. The record is from RNAcentral.